Molecule: long non-coding RNA, 1940 nt
Filed under: Solanum tuberosum (potato)
Lineage: Eukaryota; Viridiplantae; Streptophyta; Magnoliopsida; Solanales; Solanaceae
Description: long non-coding RNA (STUB_LNC009185)
Source: RNAcentral
AAAAAAAAAAAAAAAGAUGAGAGCAGCCGUUAAACAAGACUUUGUUGGGGCAAUAGCAACGAAGAGUGACAACUCUCCAGGUAAGAAAAUUUCAAUUAGUUUGUAAUGUUGUCUCUGCAUACAUUGAUUUAGCCAUAUAUACGUUGGGUGGGGGGGAGGAGAAAUUGAUUUUUUUUGCAAACUUUUUUUGGAGAUGUUGCAAUGUGAUUCUUUACAUUUGUUGAUUAAAUCAAGAAAGAAAUUGUUGCUAGGUAAAAUCACGAGUAAUGACGAGCUAAGAUGGGAUAUGUUAGUGGGAUAGAGAAAUUGCAAUUUCAUUACGGUAUAUUUUCCAGAACUAGUUGGUUCCUCUUUUUAUUUGUAUUUAUUUUUAGUUAUCACAUUACGAUUCAUGUUUUGACACAUUGUGAUAGGUAAUUUAAUAUUAGGUGCAUUGUAUUAUAUGAAUACCAUUAGAUUUAUGUUAUUUGGAGAAAAUGAGACUUGACCCUAGAUUUGAAUUUAAGAAAUAUGAGAGUUGGGAUAUGAAGCAUCAAGAUUAGGAACUUGAUUAUAGAUUUGUUCUCUAUGAUUUAUGGGUAAAUUAUGUAUAUACUAUUUUAUAUAAUUUUACUAAAAUUCCAAAUUGUCCUUGUGGGCUUCGAUUAAACUUUUUCGGUGAGUUUUGGGGUAUGGGUUAGAAGUAUAGCAAAAUGGGUGUGUACAAACUCGUUUACUUACAAAUAAUGUAUAUUUUAUAGUUUAGGAAUGUUUUGAAACUUUGCAAAAAGGAAGGCAAAAUCUUGAGGAUUCGUGACACAUGUUCGACAUUCGAGGUAUGUUAAGAAUUCAUAGACUUCAUGGAUGGACGUUUUUCUAAUUAAAGAUUAAACAUGGAAUAGUUAAUGGGUUAGAGCGACAGAUGGAGUCUCGUACCAAUGGCGUGACGGGCAUUGGUAAGAGUACUAGUGUUAUAGAAGGGAAAGUUUGUUACUAUGAAUGACAUAUUGUAAUUAGAGAAUGCAAAAGCAUAUGUACAUUAGCUGAUGUAUUAUUGACUCUUUUUCUUUGUGUGGUUGUGUUUCUUUAUUGAACCCGUAAAUUUAUGAUAGUUGAGGUGAUUAUAUGUUAAAUCGAUAUUGAUUGAUUGAGAUGCAUCAUCAUCCCCCUAUUUUGUUGAUAUUAUAUUGUGCACAUGCAUUGACAUGGGAUUGAGUAUGAAUAAAGGCCUGACACAUGGAGAUCGUCCAUGUUGAGUUUAAUUUAUUUUUAUAAGUUGGGUAUGUGGAGAUUGUCUAUGUUGGGGAUGGUUUGAUUUUAUGAUAGUGCAUUGAGAUCGUCAACACAUACACGUGGAGAUCAUCCGUGUCGGUAUAUGGACCUCGCGAGUCCCCCAUGAGUCAUGAAAUCUCGAUGUUUUUCUGAGAAUUAUCGUGUAUAUACGAUUGAGAGAGUACUUCACAUAAUUUCAUGGUGCCGCAUUGCAUCUCAUUAUAUAAUUCAUUCUUGUUUGAUUAUAUGCUUCAUUGGUGUUUGAAUAUAAUGUGUCAUUUGUUUCUCCCUUUCAGAUGAAACUUGGCUGUUAAGUAUAAUGUAGACUUGAAAAAUUAAAGGAUGAUUUUCUUAUAUACUCAUGUCGCUACUUCUUCUUUGUCGGUCUAUGAGACAUACUAGGUACACGUGAUUUCGUACUCAUACUAUACUUAUUGCAUUCUUUUGUGGUGCAGAUUGAAUUUGAAUAUGAGCGCAUCUCGCGGAGCUUACCGAGUUUAAGCUUGAGUUAUCUUGGAGUUGUAGUGAGUUGCUUGGCUGAUCCAUGGUCCAAUCUCCCUCUAACUUUUUAUUCAUCCUGUUGGUCUAAUAUUAAGACAUGAUAUUUCUUACGUCUAGACAUAUCAUUUUAGUUUGAGAACGACAUCAUGUUUUAUAAGUUCAUGUACUUAUGACACUAAAUCUGGGAU